Molecule: ribosomal RNA, 465 nt
Filed under: uncultured bacterium
Lineage: Bacteria
Description: partial 16S ribosomal RNA
Rfam family: Bacterial small subunit ribosomal RNA
Source: RNAcentral
GACGAACGCUGGCGGCGUGCUUAACACAUGCAAGUCGUACGGUAAGGCCCUUUCGGGGGUCCACGAGUGGCGAACGGGUGAGUAACACGUGAGUAACCUGCCCACAACUUUGGGAUAACGCUAGGAAACUGGUGCUAAUACUGGAUAUGUGCUCCUGCUGCAUGGUGGGGGUUGGAAAGCUCCGGCGGUUGUGGAUGGACUCGCGGCCUAUCAGCUUGUUGGUGGGGUAGUGGCCUACCAAGGCGGCGACGGGUAGCCGGCCUGAGAGGGUGACCGGCCACAGUGGGACUGAGAUACGGCCCAGACUCCUACGGGAGGCAGCAGUGGGGAAUAUUGCACAAUGGGCGCAAGCCUGAUGCAGCAACGCCGCGUGCGGGAGGACGGCCUUCGGGUUGUAAACCGCUUUCAGCAGGGACGAAGCUUUUUGUGACGGUACCUGCAGAAGAAGCACCGGCUAACUACGUG